This 525-nucleotide ribosomal RNA is filed under the name uncultured bacterium. RNAcentral describes it as "bacterial SSU rRNA". It matches the Rfam family "Bacterial small subunit ribosomal RNA", at positions 355 to 896 of the family's 1533-position model. The record is from RNAcentral.
UGGGGAAUUUUGCGCAAUGGGGGAAACCCUGACGCAGCAACGCCGCGUGGAGGAUGAAGUCCCUUGGGACGUAAACUCCUUUCGACCGGGAAGAUUACGACGGUACCGGAAGAAGAAGCCCCGGCUAACUUCGUGCCAGCAGCCGCGGUAAUACGAGGGGGGCAAGCGUUGUUCGGAAUUAUUGGGCGUAAAGGGUGCGUAGGCGGUUCGGUAAGUCUCGUGUGAAAUCUUCAGGCUCAACUUGAAGUCUGCACGAGAAACUGCCGGGCUUGAGUGUGGGAGAGGUGAGUGGAAUUUCCGGUGUAGCGGUGAAAUGCGUAGAUAUCGGAAGGAACACCUGUGGCGAAAGCGGCUCACUGGACCACAACUGACGCUGAUGCACGAAAGCUAGGGGAGCAAACAGGAUUAGAUACCCUGGUAGUCCUAGCCCUAAACGAUGAUCGCUAGGUGUGACGGGUACCCAAUCCCGCCGUGCCGAAGCUAACGCGUUAAGCGAUCCGCCUGGGGAGUACGGUCGCAAGGCUG